This 490-nucleotide ribosomal RNA is filed under the name uncultured bacterium. Its description in RNAcentral is "partial 16S ribosomal RNA". It matches the Rfam family "Bacterial small subunit ribosomal RNA", at positions 30 to 507 of the family's 1533-position model. The record is from RNAcentral.
AUUGAACGCUGGCGGCAGGCCUAACACAUGCAAGUCGAACGGUAACAGGAAGCAUCUUGCUGCUUUGCUGACGAGUGGCGGACGGGUGAGUAAUGUCUGGGAAACUGCCCGAUGGAGGGGGAUAACUACUGGAAACGGUAGCUACUACCGCAUAACGUCGCAAGACCAAAGAGGGGGACCUUAGGGCCUCUUGCCAUCGGAUGUGCCCAGAUGGGAUUAGCUAGUAGGUGGGGUAACGGCUCACCUAGGCGACGAUCCCUAGCUGGUCUGAGAGGAUGACCAGCCACACUGGAACUGAGACACGGUCCAGACUCCUACGGGAGGCAGCAGUGGGGAAUAUUGCACAAUGGGCGCAAGCCUGAUGCAGCCAUGCCGCGUGUAUGAAGAAGGCCUUCGGGUUGUAAAGUACUUUCAGCGGGGAGGAAGGGAGUAAAGUUAAUACCUUGGCUCAUUGACGUUACCCGCAGAAGAAGCACCGGCUAACUCCGUG